This is a non-coding RNA of Paramuricea clavata, 484 nucleotides long. Lineage: Eukaryota; Metazoa; Cnidaria; Anthozoa; Malacalcyonacea; Plexauridae. The record is from the annotation of a GenBank genome assembly.
UCGUCUUUUUCCACGCGUGUUUUCUUCGCAUCGCGUGUUUUCGGCACUGACCGGUUUGAUACAACUGUAUGCACAUUACUCGCAGCAGAGGACGCCAUCUUGAAGUUGACAAAUUCAAUUUUGAAACUGAAAAUCACAUUUUGAGCAUAAAGAGUUGUUGUUUUAUUCUUCGAUCUAGUUCAAGGCUUCUAGAAAGUGGGAAUACUUAUAGUGUUGUCGUGAAAAGUCGUGGACAAGUAACUUUAUUCGUGAAAUACUGAAAUUGUUGCGUGUAAUACAUUUUGUAUGAACGUGGAAGUUUUAUAAUUUACUAAUUUAGCAUUUAGAAAGUUAUUCAACGGCGUUGUGUAGUGUUUAUCUCGGGAUGAAGUCGUGUAUUUUAAUGUUGUGUUUUCUUGUGUGUUUUCGUAGUUCGUGGUCAAAGGACGGUAUGUCAAAGCAUGUUUUUUUACUACUAGCGGUAACUAGCCUAGGUUUCACAAGU